UUAAAUACAUAUGAUGAAUACAUAGUUCAACUGACUAAUCUUGAAGACACAAGGGUACUUGUCUUUCGCCCCUAUCUGAUAAUUUUA
RNAcentral lists this small nucleolar RNA (87 nucleotides) under Habropoda laboriosa. RNAcentral's name for it is "Small nucleolar RNA snR60/Z15/Z230/Z193/J17". It matches the Rfam family "Small nucleolar RNA snR60/Z15/Z230/Z193/J17". Rfam says of the family: The members of this family belong to the C/D class of snoRNAs which contain the C (UGAUGA) and D (CUGA) box motifs. Most of the members of the box C/D family function in directing site-specific 2'-O-methylation of substrate RNAs. The record is from Rfam by way of RNAcentral. Lineage: Eukaryota; Metazoa; Arthropoda; Insecta; Hymenoptera; Apidae.